Molecule: transfer RNA, 66 nt
Filed under: Caudoviricetes sp.
Lineage: Duplodnaviria; Heunggongvirae; Uroviricota; Caudoviricetes
Description: tRNA-Lys
Rfam family: tRNA (bases 6-61)
About the family: Transfer RNA (tRNA) molecules are approximately 80 nucleotides in length. Their secondary structure includes four short double-helical elements and three loops (D, anti-codon, and T loops). Further hydrogen bonds mediate the characteristic L-shaped molecular structure. tRNAs have two regions of fundamental functional importance: the anti-codon, which is responsible for specific mRNA codon recognition, and the 3' end, to which the tRNAs corresponding amino acid is attached (by aminoacyl-tRNA synthetases). tRNAs cope with the degeneracy of the genetic code in two manners: having more than one tRNA (with a specific anti-codon) for a particular amino acid; and 'wobble' base-pairing, i.e. permitting non-standard base-pairing at the 3rd anti-codon position.
Source: RNAcentral
AGCAAAAAUCAGUGUUUGAGCACUUGACUUUUAAUCAAGUUGUCCGGGGUUCGAAUCCCCGAUGUC